RNAcentral lists this unclassified non-coding RNA (907 nucleotides) under Limulus polyphemus (Atlantic horseshoe crab). RNAcentral's name for it is "ubiquitin-conjugating enzyme E2 L3-like, transcript variant X2". The record is from RNAcentral. Lineage: Eukaryota; Metazoa; Arthropoda; Merostomata; Xiphosura; Limulidae.
CUCACCUGGGGUCAUCGCGUUUUGCUGCAUAUUUGAGUGCAAAGAUGGCAGCAACAAGAAGACUUCAAAAGGAAUUACAAGACAUUCGGAAGUCGGGAAUGAAAUCUGUCAGAGAUAUACAGGUUGAUGAAUCAAACAUCCUUUUGUGGCAAGGUCUUGUAGUGCCUGAUAACCCACCUUAUAACAAAGGAGCCUUCAGAAUAGAAGUAAAUUUCCCUGCAGAAUAUCCUUUUAAACCUCCAAAAAUCACAUUUCGGACCAAGAUUUACCAUCCAAACAUUGAUGAGAAGGGACAAGUUUGUUUGCCUAUCAUCAGUGCUGAAAAUUGGAAGCCAGCUACAAAAACAGAACAAGUUAUUCAAGCUCUUGUGGCACUAGUGAAUGACCCUGAGCCUGAACAUCCAUUACGAGCAGACCUGGCAGAAGAAUACACAAAAGACAAGAAAAGAUUUUUCAAGAAUGCUGAGGAAUUCACCAAAAAGCAUUCCGAAAAGAGACCCCCUGAUUAAUUCAGAAAGUGACAACUCUCCACAAGCUUGAACCGAUUGCCAGACACUAAAUGUGCCAGCAUCUGGGAAGGUGAGCUGGAAAUACAAGUAUCAACAAUCCCUCAGCUGGGUCACCAGCUGGCAGACAAUAUGAGGCACCCACACACAGAGAUAUCAGCUGAUUGUUGUGUUUUCUCUCUGUUUUUUCCAUAAUUUAGGUUUGUUUGUUAAGCGCAAAAUUACACAAUUUUUCCUGUGCCCACCACGAGUCUCGAACCCGAUGUUUAACGUUAUAAACCUUCAUAAAAUCCAUAGGACUAACACGUAAGUAUGUACAUCAUGUAUAGUAUACUGACUCUACAAAAUUUUAGUUUGUGAAAUAUUUCUAUGAAAUAAACUGAAAUUGUGUAAAAAUAUUA